ACCUGGUUGAUCCUGCCAGUAGUCAUAUGCUUGUCUCAAAGAUUAACCCAUGCAUGUCUAAGUAUAAGCAAUUAUACAGCGAAACUGCGAAUGGCUCAUUAUAUAAGUUAUCGUUUAUUUGGUAGCACCUUACUACUUGGAUAACCGUGGUAAUUCUAGAGCUAAUACAUGCUACAAACCCUGACUUCGGAACGGGUGUAUUUAUUAGAUUAAAAACCAAUGCCCUUCGGGGCUCCUUGGUGAUUCAUGAUAACUUGGCGAAUCGCACGGCCUUGCGCCGGCGAUGUUUCAUUCAAAUUUCUUCCCUAUCAACUUUCGAUGUUCGGGUAUUGGCCAAACAUGGUUGCAACGGGUAACGGAGGGUUAGGGCUCGACCCCGGAGAAGGAGCCUGAGAAACGGCUACUACAUCCAAGGAAGGCAGCAGGCGCGCAAAUUACCCAAUCCCGACACGGGGAGGUAGUGACAAUAAAAUACUGAUACAGGGCUCCUUU
RNAcentral lists this ribosomal RNA (492 nucleotides) under uncultured eukaryote. Its description in RNAcentral is "SSU rRNA". It matches the Rfam family "Eukaryotic small subunit ribosomal RNA", at positions 1 to 497 of the family's 1831-position model. The record is from RNAcentral.